AUUGAACGCUGGCGGCAGGCCUAACACAUGCAAGUCGAGCGGAUGAAGGGAGCUUGCUCCUGGAUUCAGCGGCGGACGGGUGAGUAAUGCCUAGGAGUCUGCCUGGUAGUGGGGGAUAACGUCCGGAAACGGGCGCUAACACCGCAUACGUCCUGAGGGAGAAAGUGGGGGAUCUUCGGACCUCACGCUAUCAGAUGAGCCUAGGUCGGAUUAGCUAGUUGGUGGGGUAAAGGCCUACCAAGGCGACGAUCCGUAACUGGUCUGAGAGGAUGAUCAGUCACACUGGAACUGAGACACGGUCCAGACUCCUACGGGAGGCAGCAGUGGGGAAUAUUGGACAAUGGGCGAAAGCCUGAUCCAGCCAUGCCGCGUGUGUGAAGAAGGUCUUCGGAUUGUAAAGCACUUUAAGUUGGGAGGAAGGGCAGUAAGUUAAUACCUUGCUGUUUUGACGUUACCAACAGAAUAAGCACCGGCUAACUUCGUG
This 484-nucleotide ribosomal RNA is filed under the name uncultured bacterium. RNAcentral describes it as "partial 16S ribosomal RNA". It matches the Rfam family "Bacterial small subunit ribosomal RNA", at positions 30 to 507 of the family's 1533-position model. The record is from RNAcentral.